This 1488-nucleotide ribosomal RNA is filed under the name uncultured Bordetella sp. RNAcentral describes it as "partial 16S-23S ribosomal RNA intergenic spacer". It matches the Rfam family "Bacterial small subunit ribosomal RNA". The record is from RNAcentral. Lineage: Bacteria; Pseudomonadati; Pseudomonadota; Betaproteobacteria; Burkholderiales; Alcaligenaceae.
UUCGAUUCUGGCUCCAGAUUGAACGCUGGCGGGAUGCUUUACACAUGCAAGUCGAACGGCAGCACGGACUUCGGUCCUGGUGGCGAGUGGCGAACGGGUGAGUAAUGUAUCGGAACGUGCCCUGGUAGCGGGGAAUGCUUCUGCGAAAGCGCUAUCUGCGCGCCGCUAUCGAAGGGAAAGCAGGGGACCUUCGGCCUCGCACUAUUAAAACGGCCGAUAUCGGAUUGGCUAGUUGGUGGGGUAACGGCUCACCAAGGCGACGAUCCGUAGCUGGUUUGAGGAGGACGACCGAACCACACUGCGGGACUGAGACACGGCCCAGACUCCUACAGGAGGCAGCAGUGGGGAAUUUUGGACAAUGGGAAGCCACAGUCCAGCCGCCCGUGUGCCGAUGAAGGCCUUCCUGGUUGUAAAGCACUUUUAGCAGGAAAGAAACGGCACGGGAUAAUACUCGAUGCAACUGGCCCGAAUACCUGCAGAAUAAGCACCGGCCCCAACUACGUGCCGGCAGCCGCGAUAAUGCAUCGGAGUGCAAGCGUUAAUCGGAAUUACUGGGCGUAAAGCGUGCGCAGGCGGUUCCGGAAAGAAGAUGUGAAAUCCCAGAAGCUUAACUUUGGAACUGCAUUUUUAACUACCGAGCUGAGUGUGUCAGAGGGAGGUGGAAUUCCGCGUGUAGCAGUGAAAUGCGUAGAUAUGCGGAGGAACACCGAUGGCAGAAGGCAGCCUCCUGGGAUAACUGCGACGCUCAUAUGCGAAAGCGUGAGGCAAACAGGAUUAGAUACCUAGUGAUCCACGCCCUAAACGAUGUCAACUAGCUAUUGGGGCCUUCGGGCCUUACAGUAGCGCAGCUAACGCGUGAGAUUGACCGCCUGGGAGUACGGUCGCAGAUUAAAACUCAAAGGAAUUGACAGGGACCCGCACAAGCGGUGGAUGAUGUGGAUUAAUUCGAUGCAACGCGAAAAACCUUACCUACCCUUGACAUGUCUGGAAUCCCGAAGAGAUUUGAGUGCUCGCAAAGAAGAACGCGGAUGAGUGCUGUGGCUGUCGUCAGCUCGUGUCGUGAGAUGUUGGGUUAGUCACAACGAGCGCAACCCACUUGUCAUUAGUUGCUACGAAAGAGGGCACUCUAAUGAGACUACCGGUGACAAACCGGAGGAAGGUGGGAAUGACGUCAAGUCCCUCAUGGCCCUUAUGGUGAGACUUCACACGUCAUACAAUGGUCGGGACAGAGGGUCGCCAACCCGCGAGGAGGGUAAUCCCGACCGAUCUCGUAGUCCGGAUCACCAGUCUGCAACUCGACUGCGUGAAGUCGGGAGAAAUCACCUCGUAAUCAACGGAUCAACAUGUCGCUGGCAGUGAAUAUACGUUCGGAGUCUUAUACACACCGCCCGUCACACCAUGGGAGUGGGUUUACCGGAUUAUAUCUAACCUGUGGAGGGCGAUUACCACGGUAGGAUUCAUGACUGGUGUGAAGUCGUAACAAGGUAA